CGUCUAUAUACGUAUAGCAUAUCAAUAAGCGGAGGAAAAGAAACUAACUAGGAUUCCCUCAGUAACGGCGAGUGAAGCGGGAAGAGCUCAAAUUUGAAAUCUUCAAGGUUCUACCUUGACGAAUUGUAGUUUAAAGAAGUGUUUUCCGUUGGAGUUUUGGUAAAAGUUCUUUGGAAUAGGACAUCAUAGAGGGUGAGAAUCCCGUAUUUGACCAUUAUUUCCAACUUUGUGAUACACUUUCAAAGAGUCGGAUUGUUUGGGAAUGCAGUCCAAAAUGGGUGGUAAAUUUCAUCUAAAGCUAAAUAUUGGCGAGAGACCGAUAGCGAACAAGUACCGUGAGGGAAAGAUGAAAAGAACUUUGAAAAGAGAGUUAAACAGUACGUGAAAUUGUCAAAAGGGAAGCGUUUGACACCAGUGUUGUUUUCUCGAAAAUCAAUUAAAAAAGAUUGGAUUUUGUGUUGUAUUGACUUUAUCAGCUUUCUGCACUCUUUUCUUGUCUUUUUUAAUGCACUUUUCGUUUAACAAGUCAACAUCAAUUUCUUCUGUUGUAAAAGGGUCAUUGGAAGGUGGCUUUCUCUUCGGAGAAAGUGUUUAUAGCCUUUGGCUUCUGCAGUCGGAGAGAUUGAGGUCUGCAGCGUAGAUCCUUCGGGGUUAGAUGCAUUUGUGCUAAGUUAUAGCCUUUCAUAGACAACUUGUUGACUAUGAUCAGUCAUGUAGCUUACUCGCUUAUGUCAUUUUACCUACGCUUAGGAUGUUGAUCUGUAGUGCGUGCGC
RNAcentral lists this ribosomal RNA (774 nucleotides) under uncultured Neocallimastigales. RNAcentral's name for it is "partial large subunit ribosomal RNA". It matches the Rfam family "Eukaryotic large subunit ribosomal RNA", at positions 26 to 632 of the family's 3401-position model. Lineage: Eukaryota; Fungi; Neocallimastigomycota; Neocallimastigomycetes; Neocallimastigales. The record is from RNAcentral.